AGUCGAGGGGCAGCGGGGGUAGCAAUACCCGCCGGCGACCGGCGCACGGGUGAGUAACGCGUAUGCAACUUACCUAUCAGAGGGGGAUAACCCGGCGAAAGUCGGACUAAUACCGCAUGAAGCAGGGGCCCCGCAUGGGGAUAUUUGCUAAAGAUUCAUCGCUGAUAGAUAGGCAUGCGUUCCAUUAGGCAGUUGGCGGGGUAACGGCCCACCAAACCGACGAUGGAUAGGGGUUCUGAGAGGAAGGUCCCCCACAUUGGUACUGAGACACGGACCAAACUCCUACGGGAGGCAGCAGUGAGGAAUAUUGGUCAAUGGCCGAGAGGCUGAACCAGCCAAGUCGCGUGAGGGAUGAAGGUUCUAUGGAUCGUAAACCUCUUUUAUAAGGGAAUAAAGUGCGGGACGUGUCCCGUUUUGUAUGUACCUUAUGAAUAAGGAUCGGCUAACUCCGUGCCAGCAGCCGCGGUAAUACGGAGGAUCCGAGCGUUAUCCGGAUUUAUUGGGUUUAAAGGGUGCGUAGGCGGCCUUUUAAGUCAGCGGUGAAAGUCUGUGGCUCAACCAUAGAAUUGCCGUUGAAACUGGGAGGCUUGAGUAUGUUUGAGGCAGGCGGAAUGCGUGGUGUAGCGGUGAAAUGCAUAGAUAUCACGCAGAACCCCGAUUGCGAAGGCAGCCUGCCAAGCCAUGACUGACGCUGAUGCACGAAAGCGUGGGGAUCAAACAGGAUUAGAUACCCUGGUAGUCCACGCAGUAAACGAUGAUCACUAGCUGUUUGCGAUACAGUGUAAGCGGCACAGCGAAAGCGUUA
RNAcentral lists this ribosomal RNA (805 nucleotides) under uncultured bacterium. Its description in RNAcentral is "bacterial SSU rRNA". It matches the Rfam family "Bacterial small subunit ribosomal RNA", at positions 60 to 862 of the family's 1533-position model. The record is from RNAcentral.